ACGGAAGGCAGCAGUGAGGAAUAUUGGACAAUGGGGGAAACCCUGAUGCAGCGACGCCGCGUGAGUGAAGAAGUAUUUCGGUAUGUAAAGCUCUAUCAGCAGGGAAGAAAAUGACGGUACCUGACUAAGAAGCCCCGGCUAACUACGUGCCAGCAGCCGCGGUAAUACGUAGGGGGCAAGCGUUAUCCGGAUUCACUGGGUGUAAAGGGAGCGUAGACGGAGAAGCAAGUCUGAUGUGAAAGGCAUGGGCUCAACCUGUGGACUGCAUUGGAAACUGUUUUUCUUGAGUGCCGGAGGGGUAAGCGGAAUUCCUAGUGUAGCGGUGAAAUGCGUAGAUAUUAGGAGGAACACCAGUGGCGAAGGCGGCUUACUGGACUGUAACUGACGUUGAGGCUCGAAAGCGUGGGGAGCAAACAGGAUUAGAUACCCUGGUA
Molecule: ribosomal RNA, 434 nt
Filed under: uncultured Blautia sp.
Lineage: Bacteria; Bacillati; Bacillota; Clostridia; Lachnospirales; Lachnospiraceae
Description: partial 16S ribosomal RNA
Rfam family: Bacterial small subunit ribosomal RNA
Source: RNAcentral